Molecule: non-coding RNA, 1451 nt
Organism: Rhopilema esculentum
Lineage: Eukaryota; Metazoa; Cnidaria; Scyphozoa; Rhizostomeae; Rhizostomatidae
Source: RefSeq, a predicted model, not a curated record
AUCUUGCAAGCGGUUUUUGAGAUAUGGAGCUCGUUUCGUUUGUUUCGUUAUAUAUCACUUUUUAAAAACUUUUCAAAAUUCAUCUCAGAUGGGCAAGUUUCGUCGACAUUUCAGAGGGGCAAGUUUCCUUCAAAAACCAUUCUCACAAGUAAAAAUCCUUGCCCCCAACACGAAUUUCAUGGUUUCGACUCAAUCUUGCAAGCUUUGUUUGUUUCGUUAAAUAUCACUUUUUGUUUCGUUUCAUUUCGUUUCGUUUCGUUUCCUUUCGUUUCGUUUCGUUUCAUCAAAUAUAAUAAGCCCUUUUUGGUACAUGUCCUUCAAUAGUUUUGUUUUUUGGUACACACACUACGUCGUUGUAAGCUAUGUUGUUUGGCUCCAACACGACCUUGAAUUCCUCUCCAAAUAGAACGAUAAACGUGGUGCCCUUGGAUAAAAUAAUUCACUUUGAAUACAGUUAUGUUUAUAAUGAGUAUUUCAUCUGUUACUGCUUCUUUGACACCAGAAUAGAAACAAAACCAUUGUCGUUUGCCAUUUUGCCAUGAUGAAGCACUGCACAUAUAAAGCAAUUAAUAAAUAGACUAUUUUAGUUCAGUUUGAUAUUUAACAAAGUUUUGGAGAAAAAUGAGCUCUUUUUAUUGGUUCAUAUUCAAAUUUUAAACACAGAUGACCUCUUUUUGAUCCUUAAAAUUUGGAGUCUGGAUAUUUCAAAGUCCUGCUAUGUCAAACAAUUUUUCAUUUUCCUUGCGAGGUUCAAGAUGGUGGGACUCAACGACUGUUGUAAAGAUCCAAUCUUGAGACAAUCCUUUUCAAGCAAGAAACACUGCUACUCCAGAAUUUGAUGUUUAUUUUGAUAGAUCUUAUGUCAAGUUUUGAGCAAGAUGUUACUAAGGGCUAGAAUUCAAGAUGUCUUGGAAUUUAAUGAGCAAGGUGCCAUCAAGAAUAACAUGCUGCUUGUCUAGAAACAAUCAACUGUUGUUUGUGAAAGUCACCAGCAAAACAUACAAAGAUGUUGGCGAAAAGAAGAGCAAAUACGACGAAGAAGCAACCCAGUCAAUCAAACGAAGAUGAUGCCAAAUGUUUUCUGCAUAAUUUCACUUAAGACUUAACAGCCAAAAGGCUGUAGUCAUUUAGAACCUAGGUUAGAAAAUUAUUUGAUUGUUGAAUUUAAAGUCUUUUUCCUGUUGGCAUAUCUCUCGUAAUUUCUGUAUUUGUCUCUUUUACUUGGGCUGAUCUUCGUGAGCGGUACUUCGAAAUAGGUUUUAAAUGCAGUUCAAGAUUCUAAUUAAAAAGUAAUAUAUAUCUAAAUAAAAUAUAAAAGUUAAAUAGAUUGAUAAUGAUCACUUGCGCUCGCUACUAUACACGGGUUGUCCGCUACAUAUAGGCAUUUUUAUGAAAUGCCUUUCAAAAUUUUAAAUGCUGCAUUUAUGCGUGCCAAAGUCUCACCCACAUCA